RNAcentral lists this unclassified non-coding RNA (741 nucleotides) under Hevea brasiliensis (rubber tree). Lineage: Eukaryota; Viridiplantae; Streptophyta; Magnoliopsida; Malpighiales; Euphorbiaceae. The record is from RNAcentral.
AUAGAACUUUUCAAUCUGAUGUCUUGUCCUAAUAAGGUCUUUUGCCAUUACUUUAACAGCUCCCUGCAAAGAUAUCACAGAAAAUCAAAUAUAUAUUCAACUCCUUUUUUUAAAUUUUAACAAAAACAAAUUAAAAAGAAGGGAUAACUAAAAAAUAUCAAGUAAGGCAAGUGAGAGGGGAAAGAACUUCAACAUUAAAUGAAUCAUCUCCAAUUAAAGCCUUCCAGACAAGAAAAAAAUUACAACAAAUCCAUUCACGAUCAAAUUUUAGCAUCACUUACCAACUAAUUGCAUAAUGUUGCAUUACAGUGAAAUUAUGAUCAGAAUAUCAUCCUGACUGAUUCAGUAAAAUAUCUAAACAAUUGAUUCAACAUUACAACCUGUGAAAUAUUAUAUUAACAAACUUUUACUUAAAGGUACAAUUUGGCUGAUACAAUGUUCUUGCUAAGCUCUCAAUCAUUAACUAUUAACAUUUACCCAAUGCAAAGUCACAUAUAAUAACUAACCAAAACAAGAAACAGCACGAAAUAGCUAGUCAGAAGUACAAAAAUUGUACAGUUCGUUAAUAUGGAAGUAUAAGAAAACAUUUGAAUGCUAGCUAGCACUAAGAAAAACAUAAUUGCAAGGAAGCAAUAUUCGCCAUGAGCUUAGACUCUGGGGAUAAUAAAUAGCUGACAAACAACCGUAGAAGGUUUCUUUAAUAAACAAGAAAUUAAUGAGCAAGGGAAAGGUAGUUCACCA